Molecule: ribosomal RNA, 453 nt
Filed under: bacterium 1.5
Lineage: Bacteria
Description: bacterial SSU rRNA
Rfam family: Bacterial small subunit ribosomal RNA
Source: RNAcentral
CGGGUUGUAAACUGCUUUUGUACGGAACGAAACGGCCACCUCUAAUAAAGGUGGCUAAUGACGGUACCGUAAGAAUAAGCACCGGCUAACUACGUGCCAGCAGCCGCGGUAAUACGUAGGGUGCGAGCGUUAAUCGGAAUUACUGGGCGUAAAGCGUGCGCAGGCGGUUAUAUAAGACAGAUGUGAAAUCCCCGGGCUCAACCUGGGACCUGCAUUUGUGACUGUAUAGCUAGAGUACGGUAGAGGGGGAUGGAAUUCCGCGUGUAGCAGUGAAAUGCGUAGAUAUGCGGAGGAACACCGAUGGCGAAGGCAAUCCCCUGGACCUGUACUGACGCUCAUGCACGAAAGCGUGGGGAGCAAACAGGAUUAGAUACCCUGGUAGUCCACGCCCUAAACGAUGUCAACUGGUUGUUGGGUCUUCACUGACUCAGUAACGAAGCUAACGCGUGAAGU